UACGUAGGUGGCAAGCGUUGUCCGGAUUUACUGGGCGUAAAGAGCGCGCAGGCGGUCGUUCAAGUCGCGUGUGAAAGCCCCCGGCUCAACUGGGGAGGGUCACGCGAUACUGAUCGACUCGAAGGCAGGAGAGGGAAGUGGAAUUCCCGGUGUAGUGGUGAAAUGCGUAGAUAUCGGGAGGAACACCAGUGGCGAAGGCGGUGGUCUGGGCCGGCACUGACGCUGAGGAGCGAAAGCUGGGGGAGCAAACGGG
RNAcentral lists this ribosomal RNA (253 nucleotides) under uncultured bacterium. Its description in RNAcentral is "partial 16S ribosomal RNA". It matches the Rfam family "Bacterial small subunit ribosomal RNA", at positions 524 to 776 of the family's 1533-position model. The record is from RNAcentral.